AUUGAACGCUGGCGGCAGGCCUAACACAUGCAAGUCGAACGGUAGCACAGAGAGCUUGCUCUCGGGUGACGAGUGGCGGACGGGUGAGUAACGUCUGGGAAACUGCCCGAUGGAGGGGGAUAACUACUGGAAACGGUAGCUAAUACCGCAUAACGUCGCAAGACCAAAGUGGGGGGCCUUCGGGCCUCACACCAUCGGAUGUGCCCAGAUGGGAUUAGCUAGUAGGUGGGGUAAUGGCUCACCUAGGCGACGAUCCCUAGCUGGUCUGAGAGGAUGACCAGCCACACUGGAACUGAGACACGGUCCAGACUCCUACGGGAGGCAGCAGUGGGGAAUAUUGCACAAUGGGCGCAAGCCUGAUGCGGCCAUGCCGCGUGUAUGAAGAAGGCCUUCGGGUUGUAAAGUACUUUCAGCGGGGAGGAAGGCGGUGAAGUUAAUAGCUUAACCGAUUGACGUUACCCGCAGAAGAAGCACCGGCUAACUCCGUGCCAGCAGCCGCCGUAA
This 504-nucleotide ribosomal RNA is filed under the name uncultured bacterium. RNAcentral's name for it is "partial 16S ribosomal RNA". It matches the Rfam family "Bacterial small subunit ribosomal RNA", at positions 29 to 523 of the family's 1533-position model. The record is from RNAcentral.